UAGGGAAUCUUCCACAAUGGACGCAAGUCUGAUGGAGCAACGCCGCGUGAGUGAAGAAGGCUUUCGGGUCGUAAAACUCUGUUAUUGAAGAAGAACGUGCGUGACAGUAACUGGUCAUGCAGUGACGGUAUUCAAUCAGAAAGUCACGGCUAACUACGUGCCAGCAGCCGCGGUAAAUACGUAGGUGGCAAGCGUUGUCCGGAUUUAUUGGGCGUAAAGCGAGUGCAGGCGGUCUUUUAAGUCUGAUGUGAAAGCCUUCGGCUUAACCGAAGAAGGCAUCGGAAACUGG
Molecule: ribosomal RNA, 289 nt
Filed under: uncultured bacterium
Lineage: Bacteria
Description: partial 16S ribosomal RNA
Rfam family: Bacterial small subunit ribosomal RNA
Source: RNAcentral